GGUACUAUAGAGUCUUGCUGUAAGGAGAGGAUGGAGGGGACUGCUGAGGGUCCUGCUGUAAGGAGAGAAUGGAGGGUACUAUAGAGUCUUGCUGUAAGGAGAGGAUGGAGGGGACUGUAAGGGACCUGCUGUAAGGAGAGGAUGGAGGGUACUAUAGAGUCUUGCUGUAAGGAGAGGAUGGAGGGGACUGCUGAGGGUCCUGUUGGAAGCAGAGGAUGGAGAUGGAGUAGGAAGCAUCUGCUAAGACAAUAAUCCGGAAAGACGAACUCUGAUCCAAAUGCCACAAAGUGACUUUUUCUCACCAGCAAUUUUCCUACGUAACACACAAAUACCCACAUUUGCUGUGGAUGGUCUUCCCCACCUUCCAUCUCCACCACCUUCCAAUUCUAGAAGACUCACAAGCAAUCUGGAGGCACAGGCAUGUGGUAAGAAAGCAAAAGCAAGGACUACUUGGGGGAAGAAGGGAAAUCAGUCAGAGGGUCGGGUACUGUCUUCGUUAGGGUUUCUAUUGUCAUCUCAAAGGGAACAUGAGCUAAUUUAUUCUGGAGUAAACUAUGAUUUAAACUGUGAACACAGAUUUAGGGUACCCCAAAUGCUAUGUACUGACCUGGCAAUAGUUUCUUGAUUUUUUUUUAAUAAGAAAAGAAAAUGAAGUCCUAAGUCAGGGCAACUUUCCAAUACAUGGGUGGAAUGUCCGAUAGGUGGUUACAGCAAAGUGGGAAGCCUCGCUGUAGGCCUCAGAUGAUGCCUGAUGACAUUCUUAGCUUUGGGCUGGGAGAUUGUUAGUAUGUUCUGGGAAGAUUUUACCUUAUAGUCAUGGGCCACUAGGUCAAACACAGAGGGGGGUGAUGCCUGACUCUCAAGAAGGCUAAAGAUAGACUUGGAGCAUUCUACUCUCUGUCAUGGAAAUUCUAACCAGUCAAUCGAUCCUGGAAAUCUUUAACAUAGGUGCAGCUGUUUUCUCCCUUGGGAACUUCAGGUCACAGGCACGUCAAGGUUGGAGUUUCAUGUUAUUUCCUGGUCCACCGAGAUGUGAACAAGCAUCUCCAUGCUUCUGCCGCCACACAAGGGCUGCCUGUAACAGGAAGAUAUCACUGCAGCUGUCCUUGCCAUGAUGUAAUGGAUCCACAAACCAAGCAGCAAAGCAAAUUCUUCCUCCUCUGUACUGCUUCUCGUCAGGAAUGUCUGUUCUGCGUCACUGUUUGCUGGAAAGAAGUAAAUUCCCCUUUGAUUUAACAGGCCUGACAGAUGGGGGUCGCUUCGUGGAGUCUUCGAAGAGACUUUGGACUUUUGGAUAAUGUUUAAACUGUUAGGACUAUGGGAGGUUUUAAAGUUGGGCUGAGUACAUUCUGCAUUAUCAGAAGACCAUGUACCUAUGGUGGCCUGGACAGGAUGCUAUUAUUUGGUUGUAAAAUAUCUGCCAAAAGCUCAUGCCAAAGACAUUGAAUACUGGAUCUCUGGUUGGUAGUGAUAUUUUGGAUGUUGGGACCUAACCGGAGGAAGUGAGUUACUGGAGGAUAAGCCUUGAGGUUUAUAGGCUGGCCCUACACCCUGUAUCCUUCUGCUUCACGGACCAACAAGAUGUGAAUAAACACCCUCAUAUUCCUGUCA
Long non-coding RNA from Mesocricetus auratus (golden hamster), 1611 nucleotides. RefSeq lists it as uncharacterized. The transcript is spliced from 2 exons. The record is from RefSeq and is a predicted model, not a curated record. Lineage: Eukaryota; Metazoa; Chordata; Mammalia; Rodentia; Cricetidae.